RNAcentral lists this long non-coding RNA (390 nucleotides) under Citrus maxima (pomelo). RNAcentral describes it as "long non-coding RNA (CMAX_LNC003988)". Lineage: Eukaryota; Viridiplantae; Streptophyta; Magnoliopsida; Sapindales; Rutaceae. The record is from RNAcentral.
AAUUCUAUGAUGGUUGAAGGCUCACUGAUGGUCACUCUCAUUCUCCUGCUCCAUCUCCUCUGCAUCCUCAAAGCGUUGAUCAUUAAUUUGAAGCUGCAGGCAAUUUAAAUAAUGGUAUCAAUGAGGAAGGCAUAGUUGAGGUCUAAUAUAAAUUUCCAGAUAAAUUCAAUUGGCUGCGUAGGUCAUAGAUAAUGGGGUGAAAACCAGUAAUGAAUUGGAAUUCAAACAACAAAAUAAGACACUAAAUCUGACGGCCAAGAAUGAACAACAAGAAAAAUGGAUGUGUUAAGGCAUACCCGAAGCACAUUGUUAGCUAGGUCAUUAUCACCGUUUGAAUGACCAAUUGGGUUUGUUGGAUCCUGAAAAAAAUGCCACCCAGGAUCUUCCCCU